AAUGGAGGAAGGGAGCAAAAUAAGAGGAGAAUGGAAAUGCAUUUCCCUUAUCAGCUGCAGAUAUCUGGGCUUCAGCUCUGUUGAUUCGCUUUCUCUGGAUUAUCUCCCUGAAGGCCAUGCACAGUGUUUGCUGAUACAGGUGUGGUGUAGAGGUGUACACUGUUGAUGUGGCUCUGCAGUGGCUUCUCCAUGAUUUCCCACUCUUCUUCACAUUUUGACAUUUUGAGAGAUUACAGGGCAUCCUGUAUAUUUAGUCCUGGGCUCAGGAUUUCUUCAGCAAGCUCUGGUUCC
This is a long non-coding RNA of Fukomys damarensis (Damara mole-rat), 291 nucleotides long. RefSeq lists it as uncharacterized. NCBI's taxonomy places the organism in Eukaryota, Metazoa, Chordata, Mammalia, Rodentia, Bathyergidae. The record is from RefSeq and is a predicted model, not a curated record. The transcript is spliced from 3 exons.